This 90-nucleotide transfer RNA is filed under the name Candidatus Omnitrophota bacterium. RNAcentral describes it as "tRNA-Ser". It matches the Rfam family "tRNA". Rfam says of the family: Transfer RNA (tRNA) molecules are approximately 80 nucleotides in length. Lineage: Bacteria; Pseudomonadati; Candidatus Omnitrophota. The record is from RNAcentral.
GGUGGGGUGGCUGAGUGGUUGAAAGCGAUAGUCUUGAAAACUAUUGUGGGCGUUAGUCCACCGUGAGUUCGAAUCUCACCCCCACCGCCA